RNAcentral lists this ribosomal RNA (466 nucleotides) under uncultured bacterium. RNAcentral's name for it is "bacterial SSU rRNA". It matches the Rfam family "Bacterial small subunit ribosomal RNA", at positions 29 to 408 of the family's 1533-position model. The record is from RNAcentral.
ACGAACGCCGGCGGCGUGCUUAACACAUGCAAGUCGAACGCGAAAGCCUGGGCAACUGGGCGAGUAGAGUGGCGAACGGGUGAGUAAUACGUGAGCAACCUACCCUUGAGUGGGGAAUAACUCCUCGAAAGGGGAGCUAAUACCGCAUAAGACCACGACUUCUUUGGGAGUUGAGGUCAAAGGUGGCCUCAUCAACACAGAGCGUUUGGGCACACAUUCUGCUCUAUUUAAAUGUUAAGAGUCUGUACCCCAGCGCUUUGUCAGUGAAGCUAUCGCUUGAGGAGGGGCUCGCGGCCCAUCAGCUAGUUGGUAGGGUAAUGGCCUACCAAGGUGACGACGGGUAGCUGGUCUGAGAGGACGACCAGCCACACGGGAAUUGAGAUACGGUCCCGACUCCUACGGGAGGCAGCAGUGGGGAAUCUUGGGCAAUGGGGGAAACCCUGACCCAGCGACGCCGCGUGGGGGA